RNAcentral lists this non-coding RNA (23 nucleotides) under Cricetulus griseus (Chinese hamster). The record is from RNAcentral. Lineage: Eukaryota; Metazoa; Chordata; Mammalia; Rodentia; Cricetidae.
CUUAGGACCUCUGGAAGAACAGC